Molecule: ribosomal RNA, 774 nt
Filed under: uncultured Neocallimastigales
Lineage: Eukaryota; Fungi; Neocallimastigomycota; Neocallimastigomycetes; Neocallimastigales
Description: partial large subunit ribosomal RNA
Rfam family: Eukaryotic large subunit ribosomal RNA
Source: RNAcentral
CGCAUCUGUGCAUGCAGCAUAUCAAUAGCGGAGGAAAAGAAACUAACAAGGAUUCCCCUAGUAACGGCGAGUGAAGCGGGAAGAGCUCAAAUUUGAAAUCUUAAAGGGUUUCCCUUUACGAAUUGUAGUUUAAAGAAGUGUUUUCUGUUGAGGUUUUGGUAAAAGUUCUUUGGAAUAGGACAUCAUAGAGGGUGAGAAUCCCGUAUUUGACCUUUACUUUCAACUUUGUGAUACACUUUCAAAGAGUCGGAUUGUUUGGGAAUGCAGUCCAAAAUGGGUGGUAAAUUUCAUCUAAAGCUAAAUAUUGGCGAGAGACCGAUAGCGAACAAGUACCGUGAGGGAAAGAUGAAAAGAACUUUGAAAAGAGAGUUAAACAGUACGUGAAAUUGUCAAAAGGGAAGCGUUUGACACCAGUGUUGUUUUUCUGAAAAUCAAUUAAAGAACUGUUUAUGCUAAGCUGUUUAGACUUUAUCAGCUAACUGUUUAGUUUUGAGCUUUUCUUUAAUGCACUUUUCAGUUAACAAGUCAACAUCAAUUUCUUUUGCUGUAAAAAAGCUUGAGGAAGGUGGCUUGAGAUUCGUCUUAAGUGUUUAUAGCCUCUUGCCUAUGCAGUCGGAGAGAUUGAGGUCUGCAGCGUAGAUCCUUCGGGGCUAAAUGCAUUUGUGCCUAGUUAUAGCAUUUCAUAGACAACUUGUUGACUAUGAUUUGUCUCUGUAGCUUACUCGCUUAUGUUAUUUUACCUACGCUUAGGAUGUUGACAGCAGUAUAGACUGU